UUGAACGCUGGCGGCAGGCCUAACACAUGCAAGUCGAGCGGAUGAAGGGAGCUUGCUCCUGGAUUCAGCGGCGGACGGGUGAGUAAUGCCUAGGAAUCUGCCUGGUAGUGGGGGAUAACGUCCGGAAACGGGCGCUAAUACCGCAUACGUCCUGAGGGAGAAAGUGGGGGAUCUUCGGACCUCACGCUAUCAGAUGAGCCUAGGUCGGAUUAGCUAGUUGGUGGGGUAAAGGCCUACCAAGGCGACGAUCCGUAACUGGUCUGAGAGGAUGAUCAGUCACACUGGAACUGAGACACGGUCCAGACUCCUACGGGAGGCAGCAGUGGGGAAUAUUGGACAAUGGGCGAAAGCCUGAUCCAGCCAUGCCGCGUGUGUGAAGAAGGUCUUCGGAUUGUAAAGCACUUUAAGUUGGGAGAAAGGGCAGUAAGUUAAUACCUUGCUGUUUUGACGUUACCAACAGAAUAAGCACCGGCUAACUUCGUG
Molecule: ribosomal RNA, 483 nt
Filed under: uncultured bacterium
Lineage: Bacteria
Description: partial 16S ribosomal RNA
Rfam family: Bacterial small subunit ribosomal RNA
Source: RNAcentral